This 778-nucleotide ribosomal RNA is filed under the name uncultured Neocallimastigales. RNAcentral describes it as "partial large subunit ribosomal RNA". It matches the Rfam family "Eukaryotic large subunit ribosomal RNA", at positions 22 to 646 of the family's 3401-position model. The record is from RNAcentral. Lineage: Eukaryota; Fungi; Neocallimastigomycota; Neocallimastigomycetes; Neocallimastigales.
GUACACGCUGUGACUAGCAUAUCAAUAAGCGGAGGAAAAGAAACUAACAAGGAUUCCCCUAGUAACGGCGAGUGAAGCGGGAAGAGCUCAAAUUUGAAAUCUUAAAGGGUUUCCCUUUACGAAUUGUAGUUUAAAGAAGUGUUUUCUGUUGAGGUUUUGGUAAAAGUUCUUUGGAAUAGGACAUCAUAGAGGGUGAGAAUCCCGUAUUUGGUACAUUCCUUCUAAGCUUUGUGAUACACUUUCAAAGAGUCGGAUUGUUUGGGAAUGCAGUCCAAAAUGGGUGGUAAAUUUCAUCUAAAGCUAAAUAUUGGCGAGAGACCGAUAGCGAACAAGUACCGUGAGGGAAAGAUGAAAAGAACUUUGAGAAAGAGAGUUAAACAGUACGUGAAAUUGUCAAAAGGGAAGCGUUUGACACCAGAGUUGUUUUUCUGAAAAUCAAUUAAAGAACUGUUUAUGCUAAGCUGUUUAGACUUUAUCAGCUAACUGUUUAGUUUUGAGCUUUUCUUUAAUGCACUUUUCAGUUAACAAGUCAACAUCAAUUUCUUUUGCUGUAAAAAAGCUUGAGGAAGGUGGCUUGAGAUUCGUCUUAAGUGUUUAUAGCCUCUUGCCUAUGCAGUCGGAGAGAUUGAGGUCUGCAGCGUAGAUCCUUCGGGGCUAAAUGCAUUUGUGCUAAGUUAUAAGCAUUUUAUAGACAACUUGUUGACUAUGAUUUGUCUUGUAGCUUACUCGCUUAUGUUAUUUUACCUACGCUUAGGAUGUUGACGAGACUGUCGAUCUC